GGCUUGUUGGUCUAGGGGUAUGAUUCUUGCUUCAGUAGCGAGAUGUUCUGGGUUCAAAUCCUAGAUGAGCCC
This is a non-coding RNA of Alligator sinensis (Chinese alligator), 72 nucleotides long. The record is from Rfam. Lineage: Eukaryota; Metazoa; Chordata; Crocodylia; Alligatoridae.